GGAGGAAUAUUGGGGCAAUGGGAGGGGAACUCUGACCCAGCCAUGCCGCGUGAGUGAAGAAGGUUUUCGGAUUGUAAAGCUCUUUCGCAUGGGACGAUGAUGACGGUACCAUGAUAAGAAGCCCCGGCUAACUUCGUGCCAGCAGCCGCGGUAAUACGAAGGGGGCAAGCGUUGUUCGGAAUUACUGGGCGUAAAGGGAGUGUAGGCGGUUUUGUAAGAUAGCGGUGAAAUGCCGGGGCUCAACCUCGGAAUUGCCGUUAUAGCUAUGAGACUAGAAUGAUAGAGAGGAUGGCGGAAUACCCAGUGUAG
Molecule: ribosomal RNA, 309 nt
Filed under: uncultured Insolitispirillum sp.
Lineage: Bacteria; Pseudomonadati; Pseudomonadota; Alphaproteobacteria; Rhodospirillales; Novispirillaceae
Description: bacterial SSU rRNA
Rfam family: Bacterial small subunit ribosomal RNA
Source: RNAcentral